GACGUAGGGCGCGAGCGUUGUCCGGAUUUAUUGGGCGUAAAGGGCGCGUAGGCGGUUCGUUAAGUUGCUGGUGAAAUCCCGGGGCUCAACUCCGGGGCUGCCGGCAAGACUGGCGGGCUAGAGCACGGUAGAGGCAGAUAGAAUUCCCGGUGUAGCGGUGGAAUGCGUAGAUAUCGGGAAGAAUACCGGUGGCGAAGGCGUUCUGCUGGGCCGUUGCUGACGCUGAGGCGCGACAGCGUGGGGAGCAAACAGG
This 253-nucleotide ribosomal RNA is filed under the name uncultured bacterium. RNAcentral's name for it is "partial 16S ribosomal RNA". It matches the Rfam family "Bacterial small subunit ribosomal RNA", at positions 524 to 776 of the family's 1533-position model. The record is from RNAcentral.